CCCGUCCACCCAACCGUGGCAAUACUCGCCCCCCGCCGGCUGGGCGGACGCGCCCCAGCCCAGGAAUCCCAGCAGCAGGUGGAAGGGACAGAUAAAAGGAGGCGGCCCAGCUCAGUCUGGCCUGGCGGAGGAUGAGGAUGAAGAUGAAGGAGAAGGAUAUGUGCUGCAAGCUCCUGCAGAAAUGCCUGCAACUCUCCAAGAGGUGGGAGCUGUGCACCUGGACUGCACUGCAGAUGGCCAGUCGACCAUGGAGACCGAUUGGGGCACUGAGCUGCUGCCAGCCGAGGAGAUGCCCGAGCUGAGCUUUGAGCUCCAUGCACAUGGCGAGUUUCCUGACAUGAAUAUAAAGUUCUGGGUCAGAAAAUACCAGCAUGUCACGAUUUAUACUUGAGCUGUAUUCCUGAUGGCCUAAGUACAGCAAAUGGACAGAGCUCUACAGCAUAAAUACCACCACCGUGACUGACAGUAACUGACACCCCUGUUGAUAGCUUUAGCCAAAGAACCAAGGAUUAGGUGGAUUUAGAGACUGAGGCCCAGUUCUUUGAUCUCACCCAGCUGAGUUUGCCAUAGGACAUAAGGGAGGGACAACUGAGGCUUUAAGCACCUUUGCAUUCCCCCAAUCCUAGAGCCAGCUGGCACAAUUUAUAGAAACUUCAGGGCUGCUGUAAAUUGCACCCAGCUGCCCACAACCCUCAGAGGUUAACGUAGGAACAUAGGAAAUGCCUGACUGUAUCAGAACCAAAGUCCAUCUAGUCCAGUAUCCUGUCUCCAACAACGGCCAGCACAGGAUGCUUUAGAUCAGCAUUUCUCAAAUGCGGCCACCGUGGCCGCAUGAGACCACCAAGGGCUUUUCUUGCAGCCACAGCCUCCUUGGCUGGGCGUGGGGGGGGGAGGGAAGCAGUGGCACCUCCCCCUGGGGCCAUCAGCAGGGGUUGGACCCUGCCCCUCUCUGCAGAGACAAACACUGGAGGAGCAGGCAGCCAUUGAGGUCCUGGAAGCGGUGGGGUCAGACUUCAGCCCUGGGGUGGCAGGCAGCAGGAUCAGGCUGCAGGGCUUUGGACUCUGGCCCCUGGGCUCACCUCCCUCCCAUCGCUCCAGGUCCCCACUGCCUCCCUACCCCCCUUUCCAUCAAGGGCUUAAUUUGUCCCUGGUCUUG
Trachemys scripta elegans is the source of this 1156-nucleotide long non-coding RNA. RefSeq lists it as uncharacterized. The record is from RefSeq and is a predicted model, not a curated record. The transcript is spliced from 3 exons. NCBI's taxonomy places the organism in Eukaryota, Metazoa, Chordata, Testudines, Emydidae.